Molecule: ribosomal RNA, 760 nt
Filed under: Halomonas sp. SL4d
Lineage: Bacteria; Pseudomonadati; Pseudomonadota; Gammaproteobacteria; Oceanospirillales; Halomonadaceae
Description: bacterial SSU rRNA
Rfam family: Bacterial small subunit ribosomal RNA
Source: RNAcentral
AAGCCUGAUCCAGCCAUGCCGCGUGUGUGAAGAAGGCUUUCGGGUUGUAAAGCACUUUCAGUGGGGAAGAAAUCCUCGGGGCCAAUACCCUCGAGGGAGGACAUCACCCACAGAAGAAGCACCGGCUAACUCCGUGCCAGCAGCCGCGGUAAUACGGAGGGUGCGAGCGUUAAUCGGAAUUACUGGGCGUAAAGCGCGCGUAGGCGGCGUGAUAAGCCGGUUGUGAAAGCCCCGGGCUCAACCUGGGAACGGCAUCCGGAACUGUCAGGCUAGAGUGCAGGAGAGGAAGGUAGAAUUCCCGGUGUAGCGGUGAAAUGCGUAGAGAUCGGGAGGAAUACCAGUGGCGAAGGCGGCCUUCUGGACUGACACUGACGCUGAGGUGCGAAAGCGUGGGUAGCAAACAGGAUUAGAUACCCUGGUAGUCCACGCCGUAAACGAUGUCGACUAGCCGUUGGGGUCCUUGUGACCUUUGUGGCGCAGUUAACGCGAUAAGUCGACCGCCUGGGGAGUACGGCCGCAAGGUUAAAACUCAAAUGAAUUGACGGGGGCCCGCACAAGCGGUGGAGCAUGUGGUUUAAUUCGAUGCAACGCGAAGAACCUUACCUACUCUUGACAUCGUGCGAACUUUCCAGAGAUGGAUUGGUGCCUUCGGGAGCGCACAGACAGGUGCUGCAUGGCCGUCGUCAGCUCGUGUUGUGAAAUGUUGGGUUAAGUCCCGUAACGAGCGCAACCCUUGUCCCUAUUUGCCAGCGAUUCGGUC